CCUACGGGAGGCAGCAGUGAGGAAUAUUGGUCAAUGGUCGUGAGUCUGAACCAGCCAAGUAGCGUGAAGGAUGACUGCCCUAUGGGUUGUAAACUUCUUUUAUAUGGGAAUAAAAUGCUCCACGUGUGGUGUUUUGUAUGUACCAUAUGAAUAAGGAUCGGCUAACUCCGUGCCAGCAGCCGCGGUAAUACGGAGGAUCCGAGCGUUAUCCGGAUUUAUUGGGUUUAAAGGGAGCGUAGGUGGAUUGUUAAGUCUGUUGUGAAAGUUUGGGGCUCAACCGUAGAAUUGCAGUUGAAACUGGCAGUCUUGAGGACAGGAGAGGUGGGCGGAAUUCGUGGUGUAGCGGUGAAAGGCUUAGAUA
RNAcentral lists this ribosomal RNA (361 nucleotides) under uncultured bacterium. RNAcentral's name for it is "partial 16S ribosomal RNA". It matches the Rfam family "Bacterial small subunit ribosomal RNA", at positions 338 to 696 of the family's 1533-position model. The record is from RNAcentral.